AGUGAACGCUGGCGGUAGGCCUAACACAUGCAAGUCGAACGGCAGCACAGUAAGAGCUUGCUCUUACGGGUGGCGAGUGGCGGACGGGUGAGGAAUACAUCGGAAUCUACUUUUUCGUGGGGGAUAACGUAGGGAAACUUACGCUAAUACCGCAUACGACCUACGGGUGAAAGCAGGGGAUCUUCUGACCUUGCGCGAUUGAAUGAGCCGCUGUCGGAUUAGCUAGUUGGCGGGGUAAAGGCCCACCAAGGCGACGAUCCGUAGCUGGUCUGAGAGGAUGGUCAGCCACACUGGAAGUGAGACACGGUCCAGAGUCCUACGGGAGGCAGCAGUGGGGAAUAUUGGACAAUGGGCGCAAGCCUGAUCCAGCCAUACCGCGUGGGUGAAGAAGGCCUUCGGGUUGGAAAGCCCUUUUGUUGGGAAAGAAAAGCAGCAGGUUAAUACCCCGCUGUUCUGACGGUACCCAAAGAAUAAGCACCGGCUAACUUCGUG
RNAcentral lists this ribosomal RNA (492 nucleotides) under uncultured bacterium. Its description in RNAcentral is "partial 16S ribosomal RNA". It matches the Rfam family "Bacterial small subunit ribosomal RNA", at positions 29 to 507 of the family's 1533-position model. The record is from RNAcentral.